CUUUGAUUCUGGCUCAGGAUGAACGCUAGCUACAGGCUUAACACAUGCAAGUCGAGGGGCAGCGAUGAAGAAAGCUUGCUUUCUUCAGGCGGCGACCGGCGCACGGGUGAGUAACGCGUAUCGAACCUGCCUCAUACUCAGGAAUAGCCUUGCGAAAGUAAGAUUAAUGCCCGAUGUUAUUAGGAUAUCACAUGAUGUUUUAAUUAAAGAUUUAUCGGUAUGAGAUGGCGAUGCGUCCCAUUAGCUUGUUGGCGGGGUAACGGCCCACCAAGGCAUCGAUGGGUAGGGGUUCUGAGAGGAAGGUCCCCCACAUUGGAACUGAGACACGGUCCAAACUCCUACGGGAGGCAGCAGUGAGGAAUAUUGGUCAAUGGACGCAAGUCUGAACCAGCCAAGUAGCGUGCAGGAUGACGGCCCUCUGGGUUGUAAACAGCUUUUAGUUGGGAAUAAAGUGCACCACGCGUGGUGUUUUGUAUGUACCAUCAGAAAAAGGACCGGCUAAUUCCGUGCCAGCAGCCGCGGUAAUACGGAAGGCCCAGGCGUUAUCCGGAUUUAUUGGGUUUAAAGGGAGCGCAGGCGGACCUUUAAGUCAGCUGUGAAAUACGGCGGCUCAACCGUCGAACUGCAGUUGAUACUGGAGGUCUUGAGUGCACACAGGGAUACUGGAAUUCAUGGUGUAGCGGUGAAAUGCUCAGAUAUCAUGAGGAACUCCGAUCGCGAAGGCAGGUAUCCGGGGUGCAACUGACGCUGAGGCUCGAAAGUGCGGGUAUCAAACAGGAUUAGAUACCCUGGUAGUCCGCACAGUAAACGAUGAAUACUCGCGAUUUGCGAUACACAGUAAGUCGCCAAGCGAAAGCGUUAAGUAUUCCACCUGGGGAGUACGCCGGCAACGGUGCAACUCAAAUGAAUUGACA
This 914-nucleotide ribosomal RNA is filed under the name uncultured Bacteroidota bacterium. Its description in RNAcentral is "bacterial SSU rRNA". It matches the Rfam family "Bacterial small subunit ribosomal RNA", at positions 11 to 915 of the family's 1533-position model. The record is from RNAcentral. Lineage: Bacteria; Pseudomonadati; Bacteroidota.